GACGAACGCUGGCGGCGUGCUUAACACAUGCAAGUCGAACGCUGAAGCUCAGCUUUUGUUGGGUGGAUGAGUGGCGAACGGGUGAGUAACACGUGAUUAACCUGCCUCCUUCUUUGGGAUAACGCGCGGAAACGGGUGCUAAUACUGGAUAUUCACUGAUCUUCUCAUGUGUGUCGGUGGAAUGGGUUUUUCUGGUGAGUGAUGGGCCCGCGGCCUAUCAGUGUGUUGGUGUGGUGAUUGGCUACCAAGGCUUUGACGGGUAGCCGGCCUGACAGGGUGACCGGUCACGUUGGGCGUGACAUACGGCCCAGACUGGUACGAGAGGGAGCAGUGGGGAAAAGUGCGAAAGGGGGGCAAGGCUGAUGCAGCGACGUCGCGUGAGGGAUGGGGGCCUUAGGGUUGUGAACAUCUUUAGAUCAUGGUCAAGCCGGAACAAUGGUUGUGGUGAGGGUAGUGGGUAAAGAAGCGCCGGCUAACUACGUG
RNAcentral lists this ribosomal RNA (483 nucleotides) under uncultured bacterium. RNAcentral describes it as "partial 16S ribosomal RNA". It matches the Rfam family "Bacterial small subunit ribosomal RNA", at positions 28 to 507 of the family's 1533-position model. The record is from RNAcentral.